RNAcentral lists this ribosomal RNA (703 nucleotides) under Caenorhabditis elegans. RNAcentral's name for it is "partial 16S ribosomal RNA". Lineage: Eukaryota; Metazoa; Nematoda; Chromadorea; Rhabditida; Rhabditidae. The record is from RNAcentral.
UAAAUUUUACUUGUUUAAAUAUUGGUAUUGCAUACUAUUACAAUAAAAUUUCAUGUUAAUGAAAAAUAGAAACAAAGGGUAGAGUAAAUAUUAGUUUUAUUGUUUCAUACUAAAAAUUAUAUUUAUUAGAGUUGAUAUGUCGACCUUUGUGAUAACUGUUUUUAUUUUUAUAUUAGAAAAUUAUAUAUUAUAUAAUUAUUUUAGGAAAUUUAAAAUUUGAAGUGUUUUAAAUUUAUGUUUUACAACAUUUUCCUAAUUUUAUUUAAGUUUAAUUUUUAAUUUAAUAAAGUUUUAUUAAAUAAAUAAUUUGUAAAUUAGUAAAUUUUAUAAAUUUAAUUUAUUAUUAAAAUAUAAUUGAAGAACUUGAAGUCUUGAUCAAAUGUUUUUUAAAGACUUAGGCUUUAUAUUAAAGCUGGCUUCUGCCCUAUGAUAUUUAAAUGGCAGUCUUAGCGUGAGGACAUUAAGGUAGCAAAAUAAUUUGUGCUUUUAUUGAGUUCCAGUAUGAAUGAAGUUAUUGGUUAGUUCUAUUUAUGUUUUAUGUUUGAAUUUAAUUUUUAUUUAAGAAAAAAUAAAUAUAUUUAUACAAAGAUAAGUCUUCGGAAAUUCUGUUAUUACACAAUUAAAUAAUUGUGUAAUAAAUUUUCUAGGGCAGAAUAUUAUAUAAUAGUAUUUCACUAUAUUUAAUUUAAAGAAUUACUCCGGA